ACUAUUGUCACGGGUUACCGCGGCUGCUGGCACGGAGUUAGCCGGUGCUUCUUCUGCGAGUAACGUCACAGAUGUAAGGUAUUAACUUACACCCUUUCCUCCUCGCUGAAAGUGCUUUACAACCCGAAGGCCUUCUUCACACACGCGGCAUGGCUGCAUCAGGGUUUCCCCCAUUGUGCAAUAUUCCCCACUGCUGCCUCCCGUAGGAGUCUGGGCCGUGUCUCAGUCCCAGUGUGGCUGAUCAUCCUCUCAGACCAGCUAGGGAUCGUCGCCUAGGUGAGCCUUUACCUCACCUACUAGCUAAUCCCACCUGGGCUUAUCCAUCAGCGCAAGGCCCGAAGGUCCCCCUGCUUUCCCCCGGUAGGGCGUAUGCGGUAUUAGCAGUCGUUUCCAACUGUUA
Molecule: ribosomal RNA, 400 nt
Filed under: uncultured bacterium
Lineage: Bacteria
Description: partial 16S ribosomal RNA
Source: RNAcentral